GUGACAACCUGUUCUAUCGUAUCCCGGCUUGUCCGCGGGUAAGGAAAGUCAGGACAACACAGAGCGCCAUACUUCCUAACGGGAAGGUCCUGCGGCUGAACACCGUGGGAACAGCCAGUGCCACAGAAAAUAUACCGUCCGCCUUAGGCGGAUAAGGGUGAAAACGCGGGGUAAGAGCCCACGCCAGUGUGUAGCGAUACACCUGAGGGUAAACCUUAUGGGUUGAAAGACCAAAUAUACCGGGAGUAGCACCGCGCAAGCGGUUGCUGUAAGGGUUGCUCGCCCGAUGCCCGGGGGGUAGGUCGUUGGAGGCCGUUAGUGAUGACGGUCCCAGAUAAAUGAUGGAAGCCGGAGGGUCGGCAACAGGCCCAAGGGAACAGAAUCCUGCUUACAGGGUUGUCACCUAA
RNAcentral lists this RNase P RNA (407 nucleotides) under Bacteroidales bacterium. RNAcentral's name for it is "RNase P RNA component class A". It matches the Rfam family "Bacterial RNase P class A". Rfam says of the family: Ribonuclease P (RNase P) is a ubiquitous endoribonuclease, found in archaea, bacteria and eukarya as well as chloroplasts and mitochondria. Its best characterised activity is the generation of mature 5'-ends of tRNAs by cleaving the 5'-leader elements of precursor-tRNAs. The record is from RNAcentral. Lineage: Bacteria; Pseudomonadati; Bacteroidota; Bacteroidia; Bacteroidales.